This 468-nucleotide ribosomal RNA is filed under the name uncultured bacterium. RNAcentral's name for it is "partial 16S ribosomal RNA". It matches the Rfam family "Bacterial small subunit ribosomal RNA", at positions 28 to 507 of the family's 1533-position model. The record is from RNAcentral.
GACGAACGCUGGCGGCGUGCUUAACACAUGCAAGUCGAACGGAAAGGCCCUGCUUUUGUGGGGUGCUCGAGUGGCGAACGGGUGAGUAACACGUGAGUAACCUGCCCUUGACUUUGGGAUAACUUCAGGAAACUGGGGCGAAUACCGGAUAGGAGCUCCUGCUGCAUGGUGGGGGUUGGAAAGUUUCGGCGGUUGGGGAUGGACUCGCGGCUUAUCAGCUUGUUGGUGGGGUAGUGGCUUACCAAGGCUUUGACGGGUAGCCGGCCUGAGAGGGUGACCGGCGUCAUUGGGACUGAGAUACGGCCCAGACUCCUACGGGAGGCAGCAGUGGGGAAUAUUGCACAAUGGGCCGAAGCCUGAUGCAGCAACGCCGCGUUCGGGAUGACGGCCUUCGGGUUGUAAACCGCUUUCGACUGUGACGAAGCGUGAGUGACGGUAAUGGGUAAAGAAGCACCGGCUAACUACGUG